CAAUAGCGUAUAUUAAAGUUGUUGCGGUUAAAAAGCUCGUAGUUGGAUUUCUGUUGAGGAAGUCCGGUCCGCACUUUGUGCGUGAUCUGGUUCUGCCUCGGCAUCCUCGCGGGGAACAUGCUGCGCUUGAUUGCGUGGUGUGGUAUUCGCGACUUUUACUUUGAGGAAAUUAGAGUGUUCACGGCAGACAAUUGUCUUGAAUACGUUAGCAUGGAAUAAUAAUAUAGGACCUUGGUUCUAUUUUGUUGGUUUCUAGAACUAAGGUGAUGAUUAAUAGGGAUAAUUGGGGGCAUUUGUAUUAACACGUCAGAGGUGAAAUUCUUGGAUUGUGUUACGACAAACUACUGCGAAAGCAUUUGCCAAGGAUGUUUUCAUUGA
Molecule: ribosomal RNA, 378 nt
Filed under: uncultured eukaryote
Lineage: Eukaryota
Description: partial 18S ribosomal RNA
Rfam family: Eukaryotic small subunit ribosomal RNA
Source: RNAcentral